RNAcentral lists this ribosomal RNA (402 nucleotides) under uncultured bacterium. RNAcentral's name for it is "bacterial SSU rRNA". It matches the Rfam family "Bacterial small subunit ribosomal RNA", at positions 355 to 774 of the family's 1533-position model. The record is from RNAcentral.
UGGGGAAUCUUGCACAAUGGGGGCAACCCUGAUGCAGCGACGCCGCGUGAGCGAUGAAGCCCUUCGGGGCGUAAAGCUCUUUCGACCGGAACGAUAAUGACGGUACCGGGAGAAGAAGCUGCGGCUAACUACGUGCCAGCAGCCGCGGUAAUACGUAGGCAGCAAGCGUUGUUCGGAGUUACUGGGCGUAAAGAGUGCGUAGGCGGUUUUCUAAGUUCGGUGUGAAAUCUCCCGGCUUAACUGGGAGGGUGCGCCGAAGACUGGGAAGCUGGAGUGUGGGAAAGGCAGGCGGAAGUCCUGGUGUAGCGGUGAAAUGCGUAGAUAUCAGGAAGAACACCGGCGGUGUAGACGGCUUGCUAGACCAUAACUGACGCUGAGGCACGAAAGCGUGGGUAGCAAACA